GCGCUCGGUCGGCACCGAUAACAGGGUGUACGUGGUGGUCUGGUAAGUGUGUCGCUUAUGAGAUCACGCGUAUAUUCGCCGCGCAAGUUCGACGCCUGUCGACG
RNAcentral lists this microRNA precursor (104 nucleotides) under Haemonchus contortus (barber pole worm). RNAcentral describes it as "microRNA hco-mir-5885a precursor". The stretch from base 19 to 83 matches the Rfam family "mir-5885 microRNA precursor family". The record is from miRBase by way of RNAcentral. Lineage: Eukaryota; Metazoa; Nematoda; Chromadorea; Rhabditida; Trichostrongylidae.